RNAcentral lists this ribosomal RNA (302 nucleotides) under uncultured bacterium. Its description in RNAcentral is "partial 16S ribosomal RNA". It matches the Rfam family "Bacterial small subunit ribosomal RNA", at positions 508 to 807 of the family's 1533-position model. The record is from RNAcentral.
GCAGUAGCCGCGGUAAUACGAAGGGUGCAAGCGUUACUCGGAAUUACUGGGCGUAAAGCGUGCGUAGGUGGUGGUUUAAGUCCGUUGUGAAAGCCCUGGGCUCAACCUGGGAAUUGCAGUGGAUACUGGAUCACUAGAGUGUGGUAGAGGAUAGUGGAAUUUCCGGUGUAGCAGUGAAAUGCGUAGAGAUCGGAAGGAACAUCUGUGGCGAAGGCGACUAUCUGGGCCAACACUGACACUGAGGCACGAAAGCGUGGGGAGUAAACAGGAUUAGAUACCCCCGUAGUCCCUGUCUCUUAUAC